This 73-nucleotide transfer RNA is filed under the name Ailuropoda melanoleuca (giant panda). It matches the Rfam family "tRNA". From Rfam's summary of the family: Transfer RNA (tRNA) molecules are approximately 80 nucleotides in length. Lineage: Eukaryota; Metazoa; Chordata; Mammalia; Carnivora; Ursidae. The record is from Rfam by way of RNAcentral.
GCCUGGCUGGCUCAGUUAGUAGAGCACGCGACUCUUGAUCUUGGGGUCGUGAGUUUGAGCCCCAUGCUGGGUA